UAUUCGCAAGAAUAGUCCUGUCCGUAAU
This 28-nucleotide small RNA is filed under the name Bombyx mori (domestic silkworm). Its description in RNAcentral is "ovarian small RNA-1953". The record is from RNAcentral. Lineage: Eukaryota; Metazoa; Arthropoda; Insecta; Lepidoptera; Bombycidae.